Molecule: ribosomal RNA, 497 nt
Filed under: uncultured bacterium
Lineage: Bacteria
Description: partial 16S ribosomal RNA
Rfam family: Bacterial small subunit ribosomal RNA
Source: RNAcentral
GAUGAACGCUGGCGGCGUGCCUAAUACAUGCCAGUCGAGCGAACGGACGAGAAGCUUGCUUCUCUCAUGUUAGCGGCGGACGGGUGAGUAACACGUGUAUCACCUACCUAUAAUACUGGGAUAACUUCGGGAAACCGGCGCUAAUCCCGGAUAAUAUUUUGAACCGCAUGGUUCAAUAGUGAAAGACGGUCUUGCUGUCACUACUCGAUGGAUCUGCGCUGCAUUAGCUAGUUGGUACGUUCACGGCUUACCAAGGCAACUAUGCAUAGCCGACCUGAGAGAGGGAUAGGCCACACUGGAGCGGAGACACGGUCAAGACUCCUACGGGAGGCAGCAGUAGGGAAUCUUCCGCAAUGGGCGAAAGCCUGACGGAGCAACGGGGCGUGAGUGAUGAAGGUCUUCGGAUCGUAAAACUGUGUUAUGAGUGAAGAACAUAUGUGUAAUGAACUGUGGACAGCGUGACGGUACCUAAUCAGAAAGCAACGGCUAACUACGUG